CGCUAAGAAGCUAAACCGGACCCCUAGCGUCAGCCUUUUAAGCUGAAGAUUGGUGCCUUCCUACCACCCCUAGCGA
RNAcentral lists this transfer RNA (76 nucleotides) under Rhinogobius rubromaculatus. RNAcentral's name for it is "tRNA-Lys". The record is from RNAcentral. Lineage: Eukaryota; Metazoa; Chordata; Actinopteri; Gobiiformes; Gobiidae.